AUAGAAUUUAUUUUCGUCAAUAAAUAUUUUUUUUAGCAUUACUAAAAAAUUGACUUUUUGUGUCUAUUUUUUUGUGACCGUUUGAUUAGCGGUGGCAAAAAAAUAAAAAAUAAUAAUGUAGAAAAAACAAAGCAAGUAAGUCGUAAAAGCUUCCCAUUUUCUUCUUUCAUUUAUUUGCGCCCUUUUCUUAGUUUUGCCCUAGUAGGCUCACUAAUGUCUCUCUCUCUCUCUCUCGUUCUUGCUCUCUGUCUCGCUCUUGCUCUCGCUCACAUGCCCAUUAGAACUCCACCCGUAUGAAUCUCUCCCUCAAUCUCUCAAUCUCUCUGUUUCUGUCUCGAUGUCUCAAUCUCUCUUCCUCUCUUGAUCUCUCAAUCUCUCUUUCGUAUGAUCUUGCUCGCUCUCUGUAUCUGUGUACAUCUCUCGCAGCGAUUUGCGCGAUUCAUCAGUAUCAGGUUGUAGGGAGAGCUCUUCCUAUGGAGACCGAUCAGCAUCCGAAGAUCUACCGCAUGAAGCUCUGGGCCACCAACGAGGUUCGGGCCAAGUCCAAGUUCUGGUAUUUUCUGAGGAAGCUUAAGAAGGUGAAGAAAAGCAAUGGUCAAAUGCUCGCUAUCAAUGAGGCAUAUGUCUAUCUAUCUCAUAGAUUAUCAGCGGGCAUCCAAAGGAAGAAUAGCUGGAAAGAAGACCGAGGAUGCUAACAGGUAUCUUACUGUUUCUUCAUGGAUUCAUAUUCCUAGUUUCUAUUUUGAUUCUUACUUCUACUAUUUCGAGUCUUUGGAAAUCUUUUUAUAAGAUAACUACAGUUAAAAUAAAUAAUUCAAAUUAUUUUAACAAAUAAACUAGUUUUGCUGCUAGACACAGCUCAUGGAGAGCCAAGUGUGGAUUCUGUUCACGUUUUUCUUAAGCAAGUGCGACAUGCCAAUGAUCGAGCACUAAUCUUAAAUUGCUUAUAUAACCAAGAUGAUAAGGUUCUUCCUUAGUCCAUUUUCUUCGGUUACGUGUCUAAUGAUGUGAAGGUAUGACUCACCUAAUGCUAAUCUUAAGUCAGCUCAAUAAGGCUCAAUACCAGAUACUUGGUGUUGAAUCUUGUACGACCAAUCCACCUAUCUAAUUUCCAAUUGAUCAUUAAUCAAUAGUGUUUUUCCUGUUUCCUUAAUCCACAUGCUUUCUCAGCUUCCCCUCACCCUUACAAGUCCCUUGACCUUAAUCAUAUCACUCCUCAAAAACCAGCAAAUACCCUUGAUUUAUCCUGACCAAACUGCUUUCAACUUCACCACUGCUUCUCCCAAUGAGAAGAGUCUAGUGACCUCCAAAAAAAUACAUUUAUAGUUCAUUUUACUGAACCGUCUUUUAUUUUACCCCUCGUUAAGCACUCUGUAAUAUUUUGAACUUCAGUUUAUGAAAAAAGUUUACUUUUUGGUCACUUGGCACUACGAAUUCUGGAGGCAUGCUAUGUUGUGGUUGUCCAAAAAUUUCUACUCAAUUUGAUACAUAAAUGUCAAUCACACAACAUUUCAAAGGACUCCUUGAAAGUGACAGUUCUUGGGAUUUCUUGGAAAUAGCUUUGCUUGUAUGCUUAUGUGCAGUUCAUAACCAUGGUUUUGAAAUGUUAUUUUCAUUCUUGGCAAUAGUGCAGCAUGCCCCUUGCCUUCCAUUUGGAUUUAGCAUCUUGAAAGCUGGUUUGAAUAAAUCAGUUCUAUUGUCAGUUUAUGCCUCAUCAACCAUCAGAGAUAGUCAUACCGAUGGUUCUUAUGGUAUGACUUUAUUCGAAGUUUCACGGACUAUUUUGGAAUGACUUUUUAUCUUUAUCUUUGUCUUUGACUUCAGUCGGCAAUUUUAUUUAAAGAUUUGGUAUCAUUUUCACCACAAAAUGUUUGUUCCAAUGAAGUUGAAAUAUUACUUGGUAUAUCAAAAACUGAAAAGGGUGGUUGUUAGACUUGAAGUUGAAAUAUUACUUGGUAUAUCAAAAACUGA
Camellia sinensis is the source of this 1971-nucleotide non-coding RNA. The record is from RefSeq and is a predicted model, not a curated record. NCBI's taxonomy places the organism in Eukaryota, Viridiplantae, Streptophyta, Magnoliopsida, Ericales, Theaceae.